GGGGAAUAUUGGACAAUGGGGGGAACCCUGAUCCAGCCAUGCCGCGUGUGUGAAGAAGGCCUUAUGGUUGUAAAGCACUUUAAGCGAGGAGGAGGCUCUUUUGGUUAAUACCCAAGAUGAGUGGACGUUACUCGCAGAAUAAGCACCGGCUACAUCUGUGCCAGCAGCCGCGGUAAUACAGAGGGUGCGAGCGUUAAUCGGAUUUACUGGGCGUAAAGCGUGCGUAGGCGGCUUUUUAAGUCGGAUGUGAAAUCCGCGAGCUUAACUUGGGAAUUGCAUUCGAUACUGGGAAGCUAGAGUAUGGGAGAGGGUGGCGGAAUUCCAGGUGUAGGAGUGAAAUCCGUAGAUAUCUGGAGGAACACCAGUGGCGAAGGCGGCCAACUGGGCUUUUACUGACGCUGAGGCUCGAAAGCGUGGGGAGCAAACA
This 427-nucleotide ribosomal RNA is filed under the name uncultured Acinetobacter sp. Its description in RNAcentral is "bacterial SSU rRNA". It matches the Rfam family "Bacterial small subunit ribosomal RNA", at positions 356 to 774 of the family's 1533-position model. Lineage: Bacteria; Pseudomonadati; Pseudomonadota; Gammaproteobacteria; Moraxellales; Moraxellaceae. The record is from RNAcentral.